AGAUGUGAGGGCCAUCUGGCCACGACACCUGUCACCCCACUGAUCGCCAGGGUUGAUUCGGCUGAUCUGCUGGCUAAGCGGGUGUCCCCGUCCUCUCUCACCGCUCCGUGUGGGUCCCUCCCGAAGCCCCGAGCUCAGUCGGUCGAAGAGGACGACUUCCCCGAUAGAGGAGGACCGCGCUUCGGUCAAGGGUGCACGCGUAGCUGCGCUCCCCUGCUAGACCCUCCAAACGAGCUCUCACGAGUCCGCGGUUCCCACAGCCCCUGCUUCUCAAUUCCACAGUUCCAAAAA
This 291-nucleotide small nuclear RNA is filed under the name Microcebus murinus (gray mouse lemur). RNAcentral describes it as "7SK RNA (ENSMICG00000030069.2)". It matches the Rfam family "7SK RNA". From Rfam's summary of the family: 7SK was discovered as an abundant small nuclear RNA in the mid-70s but a possible function has only recently been suggested. Two independent studies have found that 7SK RNA binds the CDK9/cyclin T complex (known as elongation factor P-TEFb). P-TEFb activates transcription by phosphorylating the C-terminal domain of RNA polymerase II. The record is from RNAcentral. Lineage: Eukaryota; Metazoa; Chordata; Mammalia; Primates; Cheirogaleidae.